Long non-coding RNA from Pongo pygmaeus (Bornean orangutan), 1226 nucleotides. RefSeq lists it as uncharacterized. Lineage: Eukaryota; Metazoa; Chordata; Mammalia; Primates; Hominidae. The transcript has 2 exons. The record is from RefSeq and is a predicted model, not a curated record.
AAAGCGAGUUUAUUAAGAAAGUAAAGGAAUAAAAGAUUGGCUACACCACAGGCAGAACAGUGGCAUGGGCUGUUCAACUGAGUAUACUUAUGGUUAUUCAUUGAUUAUAUGCUAAACAAGGGGUGGAUUAGUCAAGAGUAUUCUGGGGAAAGGAGUGGAAAUUCCCAGAACUGAGGGUUCCACCCUCGCCUUUAGAUCAUAUAAGGUAACUUCCUAACAUCGCCAUGGCAUUUGUAAACUCUCAUGGUGCUGGUGGGAGAGUCUUUCAGCAAGCUAAUGUAUUAUAAUUAGCAUAUGAUGAGCAGUGGGGACGACCAGAGUUCACUUUCAUUGUCAGUCUUGGUUUUGGUGGAUUUUGGCCGGCUUCUUUAAGUAUCCUGUUUUACCAGCAGGGUCUUUUGCUGACCUCCCUGUCUCAUCCUGUGACUUAGAAUGCCUAACCUCCCGGGGAAUGCAUCCCAGCAGGUCUCCGCCUUCUUUUAUGCAGCCCCUAUUCAAGAUGGAGUCCCUCUGGUUCAAACGCCUCUUGACAGUUCAUUCUUCAGUGUUUCCGGCUAGGAAAUGUAAAUGUUUGUCCAUCCUAUUCACUGGGCUCUGAAGCACUCAUUUAGUACAUGGAGAAAGGAGAGGGAGAGGGGGAUGGGAGGAGGGGAGGAGCAGAGGAGGGAGAGGAGGGGGCCAUGGUUAGUCUAUCCUCUCUGCGGGGCCUCUCUGCUGGGACUCAGACGCUGAGCGCUGAAAUUCUCAUCCGCCACACACAACAUGGCGGCUUCCUGGACCCGCGCCCAAUUAUCGCUUCCGGGAUGGAAGCUACGUCAUUUCUCUCUCUGUUGCUCUAGCGCCCCUUGGAAGCCAAGAAUGUGAGGAAGUCUUCUUCCUUCGCGCCUCUUCUUCCUUCUUCUUGCUUCCGCUCCAGGGCAGCCUGACAGAGCCGCUCUAAGGCUCUGCUGGCCGCGGCUAGCCGGGUGCAGCAGAAGUCCCAGGUAGCUGAGAAGUUCGUGGAAUCUUCUUAUUUGGUACACCUUUCACUACUGCUUGUGAUAUAGUGCAGGGUUGGGAUGUGCAGACAUUUCUCAAGUGCACUGUGUACCUACACAGCAUGCUGCAAUUUGGCUACUGCAGUCAAGAGAAACUGGUUUGAACAACUACUGAGUGUAACAUAGGAUGUGCAUUUCGUUUGAUAACAGGAACACAGCUUUUGUGCUAAUAAAAUGCUUUGAAAAUUA